Molecule: transfer RNA, 83 nt
Filed under: Deltaproteobacteria bacterium
Lineage: Bacteria; Pseudomonadati; Myxococcota; Myxococcia
Description: tRNA-Tyr
Rfam family: tRNA
About the family: Transfer RNA (tRNA) molecules are approximately 80 nucleotides in length. Their secondary structure includes four short double-helical elements and three loops (D, anti-codon, and T loops). Further hydrogen bonds mediate the characteristic L-shaped molecular structure. tRNAs have two regions of fundamental functional importance: the anti-codon, which is responsible for specific mRNA codon recognition, and the 3' end, to which the tRNAs corresponding amino acid is attached (by aminoacyl-tRNA synthetases). tRNAs cope with the degeneracy of the genetic code in two manners: having more than one tRNA (with a specific anti-codon) for a particular amino acid; and 'wobble' base-pairing, i.e. permitting non-standard base-pairing at the 3rd anti-codon position.
Source: RNAcentral
GGUGGGAUUCCCGAGUGGCCAAAGGGAGCAGACUGUAAAUCUGCCGGCUCAUGCCUACAGUGGUUCGAAUCCACUUCCCACCA